GAGCGGAGUCCCAGGCGGCGGGCGCCCGGGUGUUGGUCGUGGACGCCCAUCGAGCCCGCUGGCUUCACCGCUGACCUGAGGUCCCACGCGGCGGCCAGGCCUUCGCCUGCUAAACUUCACGGCAGGACAUCUUGUGCCGUGUCACAUUGAGCACUUCCAGCUGUGAUGGUGCCAGUGGAGUCAUAAAUUUGAGAUGGCGGUAAAAGAAAAAAGACAAUCUGUCCGGGGCGGAGAGACAGGUGCUGCAAUGGACAAAAACCCGGACAAAUACGUUUUCCAGCAGAAAGGAAAAGAGACAUUUCAAGCAGAGGAGACCACAUACGUGCAUAGAUGUCUGAAAGA
Herpailurus yagouaroundi (jaguarundi) is the source of this 342-nucleotide long non-coding RNA. RefSeq lists it as uncharacterized. The transcript is spliced from 3 exons. The record is from RefSeq and is a predicted model, not a curated record. NCBI's taxonomy places the organism in Eukaryota, Metazoa, Chordata, Mammalia, Carnivora, Felidae.